Molecule: long non-coding RNA, 528 nt
Filed under: Parus major (Great Tit)
Lineage: Eukaryota; Metazoa; Chordata; Aves; Passeriformes; Paridae
Description: lncRNA (ENSPMJG00000004320.1)
Source: RNAcentral
GCAAAUCCCGAGAGCGAGCAGUGCCCAAAGCGAGCAUUCCCCGGUACCGAACCAAAAAACCGAACUCAUCCCGGCCUUUCCCCGGUACCGGAACCGACGCGAUCCGAACCCUCCCGGUGUCCCCUCGCCAUGCGGCCCGCUACCCCCGCCACGCUGCCCGGUACCCCUGGGGCGGCUCCGCGGUAAAACCGGGGUGGUUCCGGUAAAACCGGGUCGGUUCCGGUAAAACCGGGUCGAUUCCCGCUAAAACCGGGGCGGUUCCGGUAAAACCGGGUCGAUUCCCGGUAACACCGGUUGUCUAUUCCCGUUCCCCCGGUUGUUUCCCAUUCCCCGGUUGUCUCUGGUUCCCGGCUGUCUCUGUUCCCCGGUCAUCUCCCGGUUCCCCGGCUGUCCCGGUUCCCGGUUCCCGGUUCCCCGUUCCCCGGCUGUCUCCGUUCCCCGGUCAUCUCCCGUUCCCCGGCUCCCCCGUUCCCCGGCUGUCCCGGUUCCCGGUUCCCCGUUCCCCGGCUGUCCCGGUUCCCGGUUCCC